Molecule: ribosomal RNA, 355 nt
Filed under: Lactarius helvus
Lineage: Eukaryota; Fungi; Basidiomycota; Agaricomycetes; Russulales; Russulaceae
Description: eukaryotic LSU rRNA
Rfam family: 5.8S ribosomal RNA (bases 1-71)
Source: RNAcentral
GUGAGUCAUCGAAUCUUUGAACGCACCUUGCGCCCCUUGGUAUUCCGAGGGGCACACCCGUUUGAGUGUCGUGAAAACCUCAACCUCCUUGGUUUCUUCUGGAGACCAAAGGAGGCUUGGACUUUGGAGGCCUUUGCUGGCGUCUCUCUUUUGAAGGCCAGCUCCUCUCAAACAAAUUAGCGGGGUCCUCUUUGCCGAUCCUCGACAUGUGAUAAGAUGUUUCCGUGUCUUGGUUUCUGGCUCUGUUGCUUUUGGGAUCCGCUUCAAACCGUCUCGAGCUUGCAUCGAGACAAUGUUCGAGCUUGUCUCCCUUCUCGGGAAACUCUCUCGACCCCACGAACCCUUGGCCUCAAAU